UGGGGAAUAUUGGACAAUGGGCGAAAGCCUGAUCCAGCCAUGCCGCGUGUGUGAAGAAGGUCUUCGGAUUGUAAAGCACUUUAAGUUGGGAGGAAGGGCAGUAAGCGAAUACCUUGCUGUUUUGACGUUACCGACAGAAUAAGCACCGGCUAACUCUGUGCCAGCAGCCGCGGUAAUACAGAGGGUGCAAGCGUUAAUCGGAAUUACUGGGCGUAAAGCGCGCGUAGGUGGUUCGUUAAGUUGAAUGUGAAAGACCCGGGCUCAACCAGGGAACAGCAUCCAAAACAGGCGCACGAGAGUAGGGCGGAGGGGGGGGGAAUUUCCUGUGUAGCGGUGAAAAACGUAGAUAUAGGGAGGAGCACCAGUGGCGAAGGCGACCGCCUGGGGGCAUACUGACACUGAGGUGGGAAAGCGUGGGGAGCAAAAAGG
RNAcentral lists this ribosomal RNA (429 nucleotides) under Pseudomonadota bacterium. Its description in RNAcentral is "Proteobacteria bacterium partial 16S ribosomal RNA". It matches the Rfam family "Bacterial small subunit ribosomal RNA", at positions 355 to 776 of the family's 1533-position model. The record is from RNAcentral. Lineage: Bacteria; Pseudomonadati; Pseudomonadota.